This 1072-nucleotide unclassified non-coding RNA is filed under the name Leishmania donovani. RNAcentral describes it as "gene:unknown". Lineage: Eukaryota; Euglenozoa; Kinetoplastea; Trypanosomatida; Trypanosomatidae. The record is from RNAcentral.
UCUCUCUCCGCCUGACCUUCACACCUCCUCGCUCUCUUGCUUCAUGCACGCACGCGCACCCUCCUCUCCCCUCUAUGCCACUUCCACCGCACACCCACAUCCUUUUCUGCCCCUCCCCCCUGCUCUUAGGUAUUCCGUGGCGUUGUCCAUCUCUCUCUCGCGCGCUCUCUCAUUUCUCCUUUUGUGGUUGACGGCGCGCCCUCCGUCGCGUGCGUGCUCAACGUGUGGGUGUGGCGUAUCGGCUGCGUGAGACUUGGUGGUGUGCGUCCCCUCUUUCAUUGUCCUUUCUGCACCCCUUCUCUCUCUUUGUCGUGCCGCCGCUGGCGGAGCCUGAUGACGGGAACCGCACCUGUACAGCAGCGCACACAACGCGGGGAAGCAGAAGCAGUCCCGAACGCGCACUACAGAUAGAUGUGUUUCUACCGGAGGCACUGGAGCACUCAUGCGCGAAUACCCAGGAGUUCAUGCACACUUGCAUGUGUACAGACUUCGAAUUAUAUGAAAGAGGGGGAGGGGUUACAGCGGAGGAGCGCACCCCCACAAGAGCACGUGCAAGCUCGCACAGAAGCAGCAGCAGCAGCAGCAAUACAAACGCUAGCGAGAAAGGGGCAGGCGUAACUAACGCGUUGUGUGUGUAUGUUUGUGCAGGCGCAAAACGAAGAUGCGACCAACAACACCAAAAAGAACAAAGAAAAUGAAAGGGCGCUGAAGGGACACGCACACACGCAAUGGAGGAGGUGGACACAUUUUUAUUUUAUCCCUUUGCCUUUUAAUUUUUGAAGGUCGCGAAAGGCUGCGCGCACCGCUAGCGAUUCACCACCGGAGGUGUUACAGUGAAGGUAUGUGUCGCUUUUCUCAAAUCCCUUUCCUUCCGUGUUUGCGUGUGAUCACCUUUCGCCCCCCCCCCCCCGCCCUGUUCAUCUUUCUCUCUUACCCCCCGCUCACUCUAUACGUGUGCGUGUGCAUGUUUAUGCGUCUCCUUUUUUCUUGUUCUCCCUCCGCCACCGCCAUAUGUCCGACACACACACACACACACACACACACACACACACUUGUGUGUGUGUGUGUGCAG